AUUAGUUGAAGACGCAAUAUUAGACAAUCCAUGUCUUUGUGAUAAUAUAAGGAGGCUGGACGGCACUUUUUGAUAUACUGUUAGUGUUUUUCAGCUUUACAAUAGACAGUCGCUAUGGUGAGCUGAGAGACACCGUGGAUGUUUGUCUUAUGAGCUGAUGAUGAAGUUCGAUGAAGAACCGAGACCAUAGGAGUAAAUGUCCAGAGACAAGAACAGCUGCCACAGACCAUGGGAGUUUUCUGUGUGGAUAUGAGAGGAUGACGAGGGAAUGUGAUCAAGAGCUGAGACCAUGAGAUAUACAGGCCCCACAUCAUACUAGCCCAUUUUGCUGCAUUUGUCUACAAAGUUUUUUUGUUCAUGAAUUACAGUUCUUUUUGGAUACACGUUCCGUGCAAUUUAAUGUACGGAUAUUUGUAUUUAUUUGCACUAAAGUUGUCAACUUGUAAGACUUACAAGUAUAUAUUCUCUAAGUUGAGUAUAAAUGUAUUCAUUCCUACAGGAAAUGCAUGUCAUUUCUCCAGAUUUUGCAUUAAGAAUUUUUUAUGUAUAUGGAAUAUAAAUGUGUUAAUUUUUAGUGAAAGUAAAUGUUUCAUUUUUUUUAUUUUAACUUCAUUGAUUCAGGUAGCUGAUAUUUUACACCGCAGAGUGUAAGUCUGUCUAUUCUGACAGAAAUAUUGUUUCAAAAUUUGGACAAGUUGACUCCUAGAUUGCAGCACUCUCACAUAGUUCUUGCCUGUCCUGAUAUCCUAUGUUCCUACAAUGUCCAUUGUUAUACUUUUCACAGAAACCUGGAAGGUGUUCACUCAGAUGCUGUGCUGGGAUGUCAGAAGACUGCUGUAGUUCCAGUUGCAGAAAUCCCUUUCAACAAACCGACCUGAUUUCAAGAUCACACAAGUGACUAGGUGAUGCCAUUGAGGGAAGUUAACACCCACCAGUAUUUAAGAUAGAAGGAUUUUAUUUUAGUUUUGAUGUAUAUAUUUUAUUAUUUCAUUCUGUCUUAAAAAUAAAACAGAUGAAUGCCAGGUCCCACCCUUCCUCCCAUACCUCAUGCUGGUGCCUAUAUCAAGAUUUUAUUUUAAUUUUAUUUUUUGAUGUAAGUAUUUUGUUUCAUUGUGUCUCAAUAAAGCAGAUGAAUGCCAGGUACCCCCCCUUCCUCCCAUCCCUGAUGCUAGUGCCCAUAUCAAGAUUUUAUUUUAAUUCAGUUUUUGAUUUAAAUGUUUUACAAUUUCAUUCUGUCUUAAAAAUAAAACAGAUGAA
Molecule: long non-coding RNA, 1257 nt
Organism: Cryptotermes secundus
Lineage: Eukaryota; Metazoa; Arthropoda; Insecta; Blattodea; Kalotermitidae
Exons: 5
Source: RefSeq, a predicted model, not a curated record